GCCCCUCGGAUCCAAAACAAGCUAUUUUUAUUGCUGCCUGGUUUCAUGGCAUAAAGAUACCUGGUGGCACUGUUCAGUGAGACAUUAAAUAUGUACCAAUAAGUACAUAUUCUGCAGUUUCCAAAAGAAAUGAACACUAGAGGCAGUACAACUCUGACAUCUUUUAUUCCUUUUCCUUUGACGUCAAAACAAUAUUAAUAUGCUGGUGGUUUUGAACGUUAGUAUCACACAUAUCCAGCUACAUAUCUAUGGGUUUUCAUAAACGGUAGGUUUGUUUGGUGUCUAAAGGAGUAAAGAGAUGUACUUGAGAGGUGGGGAGCGCCAGUUUGAAUCCUGUGUAACCACAGUUAAAAACAAGGAUUGAAUUUAGGAUUGAAUUUAGUGUAGGGCAUAUUUCCAACAUAAUAGAGCAUUAACUUUUAGUGACAGUCCCUGGUUAUUUGAAUUCUGAACAGUUGCAAUACGCAAACACCGUAAUAAAAACACAGCAAUACGUACUUUUAAAUUUCAUAUUCUGGUAUCAAUUGAAUUUAAUUUACAAAAGACGCUAGUACCUAAAUAAUAAGCACGGAAUCAGAUACUAGUACGGGUUAUAGAUUGAAUGUUGAAACGGUUUGCCAUAGAGCAAAUCUUUGUAUCUAUGUUGCAUCAGUGUAAAUGCUUUUCAGCAGAAGAAAGCUGUUUUGAAGUCAAAUGCUCAAAAGCAGGUAGAAGGGUGUGGUGAACGGGUAUACUCUUACAUCGGGCCAUAUAGUGUAUCUCUAAAUAGAUCUAUGUGAUUUAGAUUCUAGGACAUUUACAUUGAAACAAUCACUUGUGUUGUGUCCUUAAGGAGUUCUUAAAGGGAUAUGGUGAUGGCAAAAGAAAUUAUAUUUCAAAGAAUUGCACUCUCUUGCAACACAUUUGUGGUAGAAAUAAUUUGGGGUGCUGUGAAAAAUAUCCCAAUGCUUAAUUUAGUCUACGCAAAGAUUUCAUGAACAAACAAAAGUUUCUUGAGGAACGCAAUAUUUUUGCAAGAGAAUGCAAAUGUUUGAGCAAAUUUUAGUGAACAAAACUACUCGAGGGAACGCAAUGUUUUAGUAAGAGACCGCAAGUGUUUGAGGGAACAAAGUUUCUUGAGGGAACGCGAUGCGUUUGUAAUAAAACGCAAAUAUUUGAGUGGACACAAAGCUUCUUGAGGGAAUGCAAUGCUUUUGUAAGAGAAUACAAAUGUUUGCGUGAGAAUGCAAAUUUUUGCUAUUUAACCCAAACAUUUUUAAUCUAUCGUGCCACCUUAGGGACUCAUUUGUGUCUACAUGAGUCUAAUAUUUACAGAAGAACUGUAAUAAUGUGCGGUGCUAGGAUCCCAAUGUGAAAGUGUGACACGAAAGUACUCUUCCAAUUUUUAUGUAAGAUGAUUAUGCCUUUCAUGCCAUACACAAUAACCGCAAUGUGUGUGAUUCAACCCUAAAGAUCUCAAAGUGUUUGGAGCACGGAUUUGAUUCGAAAUGGAUUUGUACAGAUGUUUGCCAGUGCUGCUAAGAACAACGAGUAUUGGCAUGAACUUCGCUGGGUGAACAAAACAGGAAGCCUGAGACCGCGUUACACAUUCCUCGAGAAACUUCACUGCACUGACAGCAAUGCAAGUGACAUUUCAAGGAAAAAUGUCCACUCAGUGGCCCUAAAACACAGGUUCAAUAAGUGAACCCUGGCACAUUUUUAUUACGCUGACAUAGGUACGUAUUACUGUGUUUUUAUUAUGUUGCUUAAGGUAUGUAUUGCAACGGUUCAGAACUAAAAAAUCCAAAUCCUACACCAAAUCCAACCCUAAACCUACCCGAUAGCGUUAGUGUUAACAAAUGAAAAAUUGAUAUCAAAAGGCAUUUGUGCCGUUUCAACUUUCUUUUACGCAGAUUUACACAGGAUUCAAACCUAAAACUAAACAGAGUAAACCUACCAUCUAUGAAAACCCAAACAUAUGAAGCUGGAUAUGUGUGACGCUAGCGUUCAAAAGCAUCAGUUUUU
Long non-coding RNA from Puntigrus tetrazona (Sumatra barb), 2004 nucleotides. RefSeq lists it as uncharacterized. The record is from RefSeq and is a predicted model, not a curated record. NCBI's taxonomy places the organism in Eukaryota, Metazoa, Chordata, Actinopteri, Cypriniformes, Cyprinidae. The transcript is spliced from 3 exons.